CAAGUCGAACGCGAAAGUCCCCUUCGGGGGACAAGUAGAGUGGCGCACGGGUGAGUAACACGUAGGUAAUCUACCUUCGGAUGGGGAAUAACAACCGGAAACGGUUGCUAAUACCGCAUAAUGCAGCGGCACCUAAUGGUGACAGUUGUUAAAGCGGGGGAUCGAAAGACCUCGCGUCUGAAGAGGAGCCUGCGGCGGAUUAGCUAGUUGGUAGGGUAACGGCCUACCAAGGCUUCGAUCCGUAGCCGGCCUGAGAGGGCGGUCGGCCACACUGACACUGACAUACGGGUCAGACUCCUACGGGAGGCAGCAGUCGGGAAUUUUGGGCAAUGGGCGAAAGCCUGACCCAGCAACGCCGCGUGAAGGAUGAAAUCCCUCGGGAUGUAAACUUCGCAAGAACGGGAAGAAUAAGUAGUGGACAACACCCCCUAUGAUGACGGUACCGUUUGUAAGCUCCGGCUAACUCCGUGCCAGCAGCCGCGGUAAUACGGGGGGAGCAAGCGUUGUUCGGAUUUACUGGGCGUAAAGGGCGCGUAGGCGGCCUCCGCAAGUCAAUUGUGAAAUCUCCGGGCUUAACUCGGAAAGGUCAACUGAUACUGCGGGGCUAGAGUGCGGAAGGGGCAACUGGAAUUCUUGGUGUAGCGGUGAAAUGCGUAGAUAUCAAGAGGAACACCUGCGGCGAAGGCGGGUUGCUGGGCCGACACUGACGCUGAGGCGCGAAAGCUAGGGGAGCGAACGGGAUUAGAUACCCCGGUAGUCCUAGCCUUAAACGAUGAAUGCUUGGUGUCUGGGGUUAUAUAGUCCCCGGGUGCCGUC
This 816-nucleotide ribosomal RNA is filed under the name uncultured Bacillota bacterium. Its description in RNAcentral is "bacterial SSU rRNA". It matches the Rfam family "Bacterial small subunit ribosomal RNA", at positions 58 to 850 of the family's 1533-position model. The record is from RNAcentral. Lineage: Bacteria; Bacillati; Bacillota.